This 762-nucleotide unclassified non-coding RNA is filed under the name Saccharomyces cerevisiae (brewer's yeast). RNAcentral's name for it is "partial contains ITS1, 5.8S rRNA, ITS2". The stretch from base 371 to 524 matches the Rfam family "5.8S ribosomal RNA". Lineage: Eukaryota; Fungi; Ascomycota; Saccharomycetes; Saccharomycetales; Saccharomycetaceae. RNAcentral also lists the same sequence under 1 other name. The record is from RNAcentral.
AAGAAAUUUAAUAAUUUUGAAAAUGGAUUUUUUUUUUUUUUGUUUUGGCAAGAGCAUGAGAGCUUUUACUGGGCAAGAAGACAAGAGAUGGAGAGUCCAGCCGGGCCUGCGCUUAAGUGCGCGGUCUUGCUAGGCUUGUAAGUUUCUUUCUUGCUAUUCCAAACGGUGAGAGAUUUCUGUGCUUUUGUUAUAGGACAAUUAAAACCGUUUCAAUACAACACACUGUGGAGUUUUCAUAUCUUUGCAACUUUUUCUUUGGGCAUUCGAGCAAUCGGGGCCCAGAGGUUAACAAACACAAACAAUUUUAUCUAUUCAUUAAAUUUUUGUCAAAAACAAGAAUUUUCGUAACUGGAAAUUUUAAAAUAUUAAAAACUUUCAACAACGGAUCUCUUGGUUCUCGCAUCGAUGAAGAACGCAGCGAAAUGCGAUACGUAAUGUGAAUUGCAGAAUUCCGUGAAUCAUCGAAUCUUUGAACGCACAUUGCGCCCCUUGGUAUUCCAGGGGGCAUGCCUGUUUGAGCGUCAUUUCCUUCUCAAACAUUCUGUUUGGUAGUGAGUGAUACUCUUUGGAGUUAACUUGAAAUUGCUGGCCUUUUCAUUGGAUGUUUUUUUUUUCCAAAGAGAGGUUUCUCUGCGUGCUUGAGGUAUAAUGCAAGUACGGUCGUUUUAGGUUUUACCAACUGCGGCUAAUCUUUUUUAUACUGAGCGUAUUGGAACGUUAUCGAUAAGAAGAGAGCGUCUAGGCGAACAAUGUUCUUAAAGU